UGAAAAAUAAUUAUUAUUUUUCCAUUGCAUCAAUCAGUUAUAAAACUAUCCAACUUGUGCACUUAACACAAUAACUAACAAAAAGAAAGCAUUUUAUUCAGAACAGAUUGGUAUGUUUUUACAAAAAAGUCAUGAUUCAACUCACAAGGUCAGCAUUACCGUUAGCAAUGUACCUUUCCUGAAGGUGAAAUCCUUGCCUUUUAUCAAAUGUCAACUGCAAGAGUGUGUAACUAAAAAACCCAACAAACAGCCCAUGCCAAAACCCACUGACACUCAUAUCCCAAAGGCUCUAUUUAGAAUAUAUAUAUUAUAUAUAUAUAUACACACACAAACAUAUAACAUGUCUUCACAGAUGACAACCGUAUCAAUUUAUACUUCAGGUCCUUCUCCUCCAGGAACCAGCAUUGUUAUAUUAUUUCCAUUUAGCAAAAUCUGGUCUAGCUUCGUGAUUCUUCUGCCUUCAGGUGUAAUCUCACUGAAGCAGCAUUAGAAAAAGAUACUGACAAAGUCAUCAAACCCUAGAAGCGUUCCAACAAUUUCUUUAUCACUCUUCAUCACGAUAUGGAUGCGUGAACCUAUGCACUUGUCCACAAGCUCUCGGCAAGAGCUGCGAAGGGUUAGUGGUGGCGUUGGCCGCCAUGUUAGAUCCGGACUUGACCAGGCGCUGCCGUCUCCCGCGGCGGUGAAGGGCCGACCCAGCA
RNAcentral lists this long non-coding RNA (701 nucleotides) under Strigops habroptila (Kakapo). RNAcentral describes it as "lncRNA (ENSSHBG00005001502.1)". The record is from RNAcentral. Lineage: Eukaryota; Metazoa; Chordata; Aves; Psittaciformes; Psittacidae.